Molecule: long non-coding RNA, 2553 nt
Filed under: Sus scrofa (pig)
Lineage: Eukaryota; Metazoa; Chordata; Mammalia; Artiodactyla; Suidae
Description: lncRNA (ENSSSCG00000057787.1)
Source: RNAcentral
GAGGGGUUUACAUGACUCGGAGCUAAGGCCUCCUGCCAGCAGCCAUGUGAGCGAGCAUCUUGGGGGCAGAACCUCCAGCCUCAGCCUUUGGGUGACUGCAGACUGCAAGCCAAUUGCUUCACCUGCAGGCCUUGAGCCAAAACUGCCCAACUACCCAACUAAGCUCCUCUGGGAUCCCUGACCCUCAGAAAAUGGCAGACAAACAUGAGCCAGUGUGAACCAGAGGAAGACCUGAGACUUUGGAUGAAUCAGAAUCAGCCAAAAAAGUUCAUCUGGCAACUCCUGCGAACUGACCGUCAUCCAGAGGAACAGCUGUGAUGUCCACAGGGCACCCAGGCAUUCUGAAGAGCCACUGGCAUUGAGAAAGGGGCAGUGACAUUUCCCCCAGCCUGUCCUUCCUUCCCGGCUCCUGAUGGGGAAGCUGAGGCACGGAGAGGCAGCUGGCCCAAGGUUACACAGGUUGCAAGUGGCAGCAGAACCAAGAUUUACACCGUGAGCAUCAGUGGGCUUAUCCUUAGCACCUCACUUGGGGAGGACACUGCAAUUAAUGUGAUUUUUCAAAUGGAAUCUUGAAAACCUUCAUGAAACACUGAAUUGGCAUGAUCCCUGACAUGGGUGGAUAAGUCAGGCAUCAGAACACUUAGCAGUCAUCUUUCGCUCUGUAACAAACCAUCCCCAAACUUCAAGCAGACUAAGAUGCAUGGGGAUCCAGAAGACCCAGCUUUGUCAGUGCGAAGCCGUCUCAGCGGAAACAGAAAUAUGACUCAGGAGCUUGUCCUUCUGGGCAUUCAGAUGCUUGUGUUCCCCCACUUCCUCCCUGAUACCUCCUUUCCGCCCCUUCUUCCUGACUCUCUUCUGUGGCUUCAUCACUGCCUGCUUCCAGAUAUUUUCUCUGUUCAGGCAGCCCUGCAAGCACCUGGCAGGGAUGACAAAUGAGCCUGCCUUCCUGGGCGACGUGACUGUCCAGAAACACAGCCUGGAGCAUGCACAAUGCAGCAGCUUCCACGCACAGCGCAAAUGCCGGAAUGCGCUGCAGGGUUGGAGAGAGGUCACUGUUGCAGAAACCCAACGCUGUUUGAGUCUGGCAUUCGAGGCUCUAGCCAGCUUUGCUUAAUUAGAGGAAUAAGCAAAUAGGUACCCCGGAGUAGCUUCUGGAUUGUCUCAACAGACUGAAAUGUCCAGUGGCCAGUGUGCCUGACAGAAUGCGGAAGGCGAGAGAACAGCAUAUGGCAGAAUGAGCCUGCAGCCCCAGAGAAAUCUCCCUCAGUCCCCACUCCAUCUGUGCUUGCGGGGCACCUCUCCCCACAGCACAGAGAUGCUGAGCUCAAGGCAGGAGCCGUGCAUGACGGGAAAAUGCAGAAGGAGCUUUGUGUCGUGCCACGCAUCAACAAAACACGUCCGUUCCACAGCACACAUCUCAAACCCAGAGCCAUGUGCACGGAGGGUGUUCCCACAGAGUCUUUGAGGUCAGGGCACAGGAAAGCUUCCUGGAUGAAGACAAUGUGAAAUGACUGCUGAACUGCGUCGGCGCUUGGCGUCGGGGUCUGGGGAAGGACGUGCUGUGCAGAUUAUUGGCCUCCUGAGGAACAUGAGGAACACAAUCGGGCGGCCGGGGUCCUGAGAGGGCUCCAGGCAGGCAAACCACUGGCUGAAGGAUUUCUCAGGCGUGCUUUCAACCCAAACAGUCUUGCUGACAGAGGGUGAAAGAGAGAAAAAUGGAGCCAGUGACUGGUGUUUUGUUAUGCUAAGUGUGCUGUCAGGGGACUUUUUAUUAGUGGGCAGUCACGGUUUCUCCAAAUGUAGGAAAACAUUUUGUCCUUGUGUUUUGUAUCCAUCUUCUUUCCUCAAGCCAUGUCCAGGGCUCUGAUUCUCUCCUGUCUUGAUUGCUGGACCCCAGGCCACGAGCUGCUCCUGGCUGCCAGCACAGAAAGGGCAUGGCAGGAGGGCAGAGAGCAGAGGGACGAGAGGCAGGGCUUGGGGACAUGCCAACCCCACUGCAGCACUGUUCUCCCUCCACCUCUUCUCCACACCACACACACACCCACACAUCACACACCCAUCCCUACACGCCACACACACCACACACACACACUCACACCACCCAUACAAUAUACAUACAUGCUACACACACAGUAUACACACACACACCGCCCUGGAAAGCAUUCCUCAGUUACUGACCUAGGACUUCGUACUGCUGCCUCCAUCAGGGUCUUCCCGAAAGCCUAGAGGUAUGCUUCAGUUCCAGACUUUCUUAGGAACUCUUGCUUGCUUUCCAAGCUGGAAGUCCUGAGUUUGGUCAGAGCUUAGUUAACACUAACAUAACCGGUUCCUUGUACUGUUACAUUAGGGAAACUUAUCAGUGAAUGGUGGCAACACGGGAUAAAACUGAGGAGGGGCUUGGUUUCUGCCCCCACCUCAGCCAGUGUCUUAGAGGUCACGAAACCUUUUUAUUUGCCUUUUUACUAAUUUUUUUCUGAUAAAUGAUCAAUACUUUCUUCCUCUCUGUUGCUGAAGAAUUUCAGAAAAAUAAACUUGUGAAAAGAUCAUCAAAAG